GGAAUUUUGGACAAUGGGGGCAACCCUGAUCCAGCAAUGCCGCGUGAGUGAUGAAGGCCUUAGGGUUGUAAAGCUCUUUUACCAGGGAUGAUAAUGACAGUACCUGGAGAAUAAGCUCCGGCUAACUCCGUGCCAGCAGCCGCGGUAAUACGGAGGGAGCUAGCGUUGUUCGGAAUUACUGGGCGUAAAGAGUACGUAGGCGGUGAUUCAAGUCAGAGGUGAAAGCCUGGAGCUCAACUCCAGAACUGCCUUUGAAACUAGAUCGCUAGAAUUGUGGAGAGGUUAGUGGAAUUCCGAGUGUAGAGGUGAAAUUCGUAGAUAUUCGGAAGAACACCAGUGGCGAAGGCGACUCACUGGACACAUAUUGACGCUGAGGUACGAAAGCGUGGGGAGCAAACAGGAUUAGAUACCCUGGUAGUCCACGCCGUAAACGAUGAUAACUAGCUGUUCGGGCUCUACGAUCUUGAGUGGCGCAGCUAACGCAUUAAGUGCCCCGCCUGGGGAGUACGAUCGCAAGAUUAAAACUCAAAGGAAUUGACGG
Molecule: ribosomal RNA, 541 nt
Filed under: uncultured bacterium
Lineage: Bacteria
Description: bacterial SSU rRNA
Rfam family: Bacterial small subunit ribosomal RNA
Source: RNAcentral